Molecule: ribosomal RNA, 129 nt
Filed under: uncultured bacterium
Lineage: Bacteria
Description: partial 16S ribosomal RNA
Rfam family: Bacterial small subunit ribosomal RNA
Source: RNAcentral
UGAAUACGUUCCCGGACCUUGCACACACCGCCCGUCAAGCCAUGGAAGCCGGGUGUACCUAAAGUCGGUAACCGUAAGGAGCCGCCUAGGGUAAAACUGGUGACUGGGCUAAGUCGUAACAAAGGUACC